GCAGAGAGACAGGUGGUGCAUGGUUGUCGUCAGCUCGUGUCGUGAGAUGUUGGGUUAAGUCCCGCAACGAGCGCAACCCCUGUAUUUAGUUGCUAACACGUGAGGUGAGCACUCUAGAUAGACUGCCGGUGAUAAACCGGAGGAAGGUGGGGAUGACGUCAAAUCAUCAUGCCCCUUAUGUUCUGGGCUACACACGUGCUACAAUGGCCGGUACAGACGGAAGCGAAGCCGCGAGGUGAAGCCAAUCCGAGAAAGCCGGUCUCAGUUCGGAUUGCAGGCUGCAACUCGCCUGCAUGAAGUCGGAAUCGCUAGUAAUCGCAGGUCAGCAUACUGCGGUGAAUACGUUCCCGGGCCUUGUACACACCGCCCGUCACACCACGAAAGUCUGCAACACCCGAAGCCGGUGGGGUAACCCGCAAGGGAGCUAGCCGUCGAAGGUGGGGCCGAUAAUUGGGGUGAAGUCGUAACAAGGUAGCCGUAUCGGAAGGUGCGGCU
This 495-nucleotide ribosomal RNA is filed under the name uncultured Desulfosporosinus sp. RNAcentral describes it as "bacterial SSU rRNA". It matches the Rfam family "Bacterial small subunit ribosomal RNA", at positions 1026 to 1519 of the family's 1533-position model. The record is from RNAcentral. Lineage: Bacteria; Bacillati; Bacillota; Clostridia; Eubacteriales; Desulfitobacteriaceae.